Molecule: ribosomal RNA, 429 nt
Filed under: Chloroflexota bacterium
Lineage: Bacteria; Bacillati; Chloroflexota
Description: Chloroflexi bacterium partial 16S ribosomal RNA
Rfam family: Bacterial small subunit ribosomal RNA
Source: RNAcentral
UGGGGAAUAUUGCACAAUGGGCGCAAGCCUGAUGCAGCCAUGCCGCGUGUGUGAAGAAGGCCUUCGGGUUGUAAAGCACUUUCAGCUGGGCGGAAGGCGUUAAGGUUAAUAACCUUGGCGAUUGACGUUACCCGCAGAAGAAGCACCGGCUAACUCCGUGCCAGCAGCCGCGGUAAUACGGAGGGUGCAAGCGUUAAUCGGAAUUACUGGGCGUAAAGCGCACGCAGGCGGUCUGUCAAGUCGGAUGUGAAAUCCCCGGGCUCAACCUGGGAACUGCAUUCGAAACUGGCAGGCUAGAGUCUUGUAGAGGGGGGUAGAAUUCCAGGUGUAGCGGUGAAAUGCGUAGAGAUCUGGAGGAAUACCGGUGGCGAAGGCGGCCCCCUGGACAAAGACUGACGCUCAGGUGCGAAAGCGUGGGGAGCAAACAGG